This 983-nucleotide ribosomal RNA is filed under the name uncultured marine bacterium. RNAcentral's name for it is "bacterial SSU rRNA". It matches the Rfam family "Bacterial small subunit ribosomal RNA", at positions 88 to 1065 of the family's 1533-position model. The record is from RNAcentral.
UGAGUAAGCGGCGGACGGGUGAGUAACGCGUAGGAAUCUACCUAGUAGUGGGGGACAACUCGGGGAAACUCGAGCUAAUACCGCAUACGCCCUACGGGGGAAAGCGGGGGACCUUCGGGCCUCGUGCUAUUAGAUGAGCCUGCGUUGGAUUAGCUAGUUGGUGGGGUAAAGGCCUACCAAGGCGACGAUCCAUAGCUGGUCUGAGAGGAUGAUCAGCCACACCGGGACUGAGACACGGCCCGGACUCCUACGGGAGGCAGCAGUGGGGAAUAUUGCGCAAUGGGCGAAAGCCUGACGCAGCCAUGCCGCGUGUGUGAAGAAGGCCUUCGGGUUGUAAAGCACUUUCAAUUGGGAGGAAAGGUUCACGGUUAAUAACCGUGAGCUGUGACGUUACCUUUAGAAGAAGCACCGGCUAACUCCGUGCCAGCAGCCGCGGUAAUACGGAGGGUGCGAGCGUUAAUCGGAAUUACUGGGCGUAAAGCGCGCGUAGGUGGUCUGUUAAGUCGGAUGUGAAAGCCCCGGGCUCAACCUGGGAACUGCAUCCGAUACUGGCAAACUAGAGUGCGGGAGAGGGAGGUAGAAUUCCAUGUGUAGCGGUGAAAUGCGUAGAUAUGUGGAGGAAUACCAGUGGCGAAGGCGGCCUCCUGGCUCGACACUGACACUGAGGCGCGAAAGCGUGGGGAGCAAACAGGAUUAGAUACCCUGGUAGUCCACGCCGUAAACGAUGUCUACUAGCUGUAGGGGUACUUGAGACCUUUGUAGCGCAGCUAACGCAAUAAGUAGACCGCCUGGGGGAGUACGGCCGCAAGGUUAAAACUCAAAUGAAUUGACGGGGGCCCGCACAAGCAGUGGAGCAUGUGGUUUAAUUCGAUGCAACGCGAAGAACCUUACCAGGCCUUGACAUCCUCGGAACUUUCUAGAAGAUAGAUUGGUGCCUUCGGGAACCGAGUGACAGGUGCUGCAUGGCUGUCGUCAGCUCGUGU